AGCCUGGCCGGGUGGUCCGUCUAACGGCGUUGUACUGUCUGGCUGGGCUUUACCUCUUGGUGAGCCGGCGUGCCCUUAACUGGGUGCGUCGGGGAACCAGGACUUUUACCUUGAGAAAAUUAGAGUGUUCAAAGCAGGCAUAUGCCCGGAUACAUUAGCAUGGAAUAAUGAAAUAGGACG
Molecule: ribosomal RNA, 180 nt
Filed under: uncultured Glomeromycotina
Lineage: Eukaryota; Fungi; Glomeromycota
Description: partial small subunit ribosomal RNA
Source: RNAcentral